ACUCAAAGGCAGGGGUCGGGAGAAGUUGAAUACCCAUCAUCCCUCACUCGCCAGCGAGUCCCGCUCCCAGUGUAGCUCGGUCUCCACCCUGCAGGGCACCAACCCCGCCCACCACACCUAAAUCCCGCCCCUAGGACGCAGCCCUGCUGCAGUUUCAUCCUGCAGGCCGUUAUGGGUCUCUCCCUAGUUUUGAUCCCUGUAGAGGGAAACCAGGAUUUCUUCUCCACAGCUGGAUGACAAAGGGUGUCAGUUGUCCCUCGCCUGCAGAAUGACCUCUCUAGACCCGCGAGCCCAGUUCCGGCCACUUCCGCUUUCGGCGACACGGAGACAGGAAGCGGAAGUGCGCGGGAGGCCGCGGCCGUGAAGGGCUGCUCCGCGCCGGGCUGUGGGAGUUGUUCUUUUCGAGGAGGCGGGGGAGCGCCUGUCUGAGGACGCCUCAUAUCUGGCCGGGCGCUGCUUCCUUCCACCGGCCUGGUCCCAGGUGCGGCCCGCGUUUGCUGCUGAGCCGCCGCGGAGCCCGGGUCCCCACCGCGCGCCUCGGGGCCCCGCCUCUGCCCCUCAGGCAAGGUGACUGCGUGCUGGAACGAGCUUUACGUUUCAUACUGUGUUUAAUAGUGCAGCUUGAGAGUUAGAGUAGGGUUUGCACGUGCAGAUUGGUUUGAGUGGUUUUUAAAUUUUAUUUUAAAAAUGGAAAGGACAAAUUAGACGAUCCGGUAUAUCUAUGCCCAUCCAGAUAAUUUUUUGCGUGUUUGUGACUGUUUGCGAUCCUUAAAUUUAAGACCUGUUUGCUUUGCUUCACUUUUGUUCGCUUUUCCCUUCCCUUUCUUUGUUUUUAUUUAAGCGAACUUUUAAAUGUGUAGCCUUUCCUUUGAUUAUGUGCAUCAACUCCUUUGCUUCAGGCUUUUUUUUUUUUUUUUUUUUUUUUUUUACAGUACGAGAUUAUCAAGAAACCCAGUUGCCAGGUCACAAAUGUUAUUAUCAAGGAAAAAUGAUACUGCGUAGUUCUACUCAAGGUGGCUCCAUACCUUACUCCAGACUUGUGAAGCACAAAUCAUCAAAACAUAAGGAGCUCCAGGAAAAGGGUAACAUAGUGCCAGGAGUGGAAACUGAGUGGGUCGUAAAUGGGAUGACUUUUUUUUUUUUUUCAAAUCAGUUUUAUUUCAAGGAGAAAAAAAAAAAAAAAAAAAAAAAAAGGAAAAGAACCCUAAAAAUUUCAAGAUAUGUCAUCGGGUGGCAACAGUGGUACAUAUAUUGCACAUUGUCAUCCCCAAAUCAUACACCCAGAGCACAAAACAUUUGCAUUCAGUUGUCCAAACAAUAUCAGCACAAGUCUUUCUCUUUAGUGAACUCAGAGAAAUCAGUAGAUUAAUUAACUAGUUUUUUUUUUUUUUUUUUUUCUCUUUUUCCUUUUUGUGGUACCAGGGAUCGAACUCACGACUGCCUACUUGCAAGGCAGGUGCUUAUGCCGCUGAGCUAAAUCCCCAGCCCCCUUUUUUUUCUUUUUUCUUUUUUUUUGUCUUUUUCCUUUUUAUCGACAUAUUUCUUCAUCUGAGAACUGUGUAUUCAUCUCAGAUGCCCACUUUUGGAUUGCAUCUUUAAAUCUGGGAGGACUGAUUUUUUUCUGUUCAUUCUGUAUUCUUUUUAGAUUUUUUUUUAAUUUUAAAGAACAAAAGAAAACAGAAUGAAACAAGGCAAAUCAGAACAGGAAAAUGCAAACAACACAGCCUUUCACAACAAAAAAACUGGACAUCAACAGUAGCUAACAAUGUCUCUUUUCUUUGAAAUAGUUGAGCAUACCUUCACACACAAUAAUAUCAAACAUAACAAUACAGUAAAAAAAAUUCAAAAGAAUGAAAGCAUUAUAGGGCUUCAAAACCAAAUAACAGGAAAUGAACAAUGGCUGCUAUAAUACUCAUGUUCCUCAAAAAAUUUGUCUAUAACAUCACACAUAAUAAAAUCAAAACACAACAGGAUAGCACCAGUCAAAACAGAAGAACAAAAGCAUGGUAGGACUUCAAAACAAGAUGAUAGUAAAUCAACAAUAGCUACCAUAAUGUCUUGUUUUCUUUAAAACAGCAUUCAUACCAUCUCACAAAUAAAAUCAAAACAAAAUAAAAUCAGACCAAUGAAUGAAACCGUUAUAAGAAUUCAAAACAAUGUAACAGGAAACCAUGAUUACCUUAAUAUUUCCCAUUAUAUUCAAAAUAGCUGCCCUUACCAUCUGAAAGCAUAAAUCUAACAAAAGACAGAACAAUGCCAAACCUAAUAAAAUUAUGUAAAGAAUGCAAGAGUUCAAGAUAGGACAAUAAAAAAUUGACAGUAGUUUCCACUUUUCCCUCUCUUUGCUCUUUUUUUUUUUUUUAACAUUUUAUUUAAAGAAAGACUAAACAAAACAGAAAUGGGUAGAAAUAAUACAUACUUUCAAAGAAAGAAUAAACAGUAAGAAAUCACUAGUUGAUGUUUACAUAUUGUCCUCUUACAAAUAGUUAUUCAAAAAUACAAAAGUGGAGCAUAUAAAGUGGGGUUUCAAACAGUGAGACUGCAACCAGUUCUGUUCAACAAAAAAAUCACACUGAGCAAAGAAAAAUAGUAUUGCUGGGUUUCACAUUAUGAUACUUCUGGAUCAGCACUGGGUACUGUAGUGUCUCUUUUUCUUCAAAGUAUUUGUGCAUUUCAUCAUGUGUCAUAAGAUCAGUUCUCAUAAACUGUUUAUUGGUUCUACAUAUGUAUGAGUCUUAACAUGUAUUUUUAUCCUUUCUAUAUUAUAGGGAGGAACAAAACAAAGCAAGACAAAAUAAAUCAUUUUCCUAUAAACACAUGAAAUGAAAAAGACAUAUAAGACCACUGUACAAGGAUGAAUUCCUAGAAAACCAUGAAAUGAAAAAGACAUAUGAGACCACAAUAUUAGGUGAUCUACAGUAGUUACUAUGCUUUUUCUUGUUACUUUCAAUAGAAUUGUCCACAUCAUCAGACAUAAUAUAGUUGAACAUACCAUUACAUAGCUAUUUUAAUAAAAACACAACUUUGGAGACAUUGUAGGACUUCGAAAGCAGUUAAUAAUCAAACCAGAAUGGGCAUCUUAUUACAUCUUGUCAUCUUCAGAGUAGUUGCCCCUACUCUUAGACUUGAUACUAUCAAGCAUAUCAAAUUCGAAUAAAAACAGUCAAGGUAAAACAGCGGUCUAACAAACCAGCUUCAAAUAAAAUCAGUCAUAGUAAGACAAUGUGAGUAAAACAGGAUUUCAGUUUAAUGGGAAAUUAAGGAUAGUUACUGUGGUAUAACCUGCUAUUUUUGGGAUAGCUGUCUGUGCCCUCAAAUCUGAGUGGACAGACUGGAUCAAAAUAUAAGCAAACUAACAAGCGCAAUAAGACUAUUGUGACUUUUAAGUCCCAUUAACAAUGUCCUCUGCCUUCCUUCUUUAGGCAUUUUCUCACUUUUCCUCUUCUAAGGAUGCUUUCUAUAUUUUGGGUUCCACUAGCUCCUUUAGUUUUUAGAUUAGGGAGUCAACCUAUUAUCUAUCUGAGUGUUGCUGAACCUUUUUACCCCUGAGCUUGAUCUUGAGCUGUACUCCUGUACUUACUAAAGCCACAAGAUUUUCCUUCCUUCCAGCUGUGUAGUUCUACACUGCACAAAAGUGUCAUAGCUUUCCAGUCCAUCUGUGGCAGCAGGACGAGUUGUCCCUAUUUCUCUAUGGUUUCCUGUUACAUAUAGCAUUGUUUUCUCAUCUUUGACUUUCAGUCUAUUAACCCUCUAUUCAGAGCAUCUUGAUGGGUCCUGCCUCCUAGUCUACUCUGCCUGUAUUUCUCUUUGUUACUGUAUCAAGGCUAUCUAUAUUAAAGGUUAUAGCCCACCUUCUCUGCCUCAUCUCUGCUAUUCUAUUUUUCUGCUAUUAUUUUUUCCACUUUACUCCUUCAUUCCACUGUCUGCCCUGUUCAUUGAGGCCUCUCUGCCACUGUUGUUUGAAUCCUGGUAUUUUUUUUUCUCUCUUUCUCUGGAAUGUCCUUCAGUAUUUUUUGUAGGGUUGAAUUGGUGACCACGAACUCCCACAGUUCCUCCUUGUCGUGGAAAUAUCUUCUUUCUCCAUUAAUUUUGAGAGCAAAUUUUUCUGGUUACAUCAGUCUGGGUUGGAGGUUAUUUUCUUUCAGGGCUUGGACUAUUUCUCCCCAGGCUCUUCUCGAUUUGAGAGUUUGUGUUGAUAAGUCUGUCCUUAUUUUGAUGAUUUUUACUUUGUAGAUGAUCUGUUUCUUUUCUCUGGCUGCUUUUAAUAUUCUGUUCUUGUGAUGGAUUUCUGGGAUCUUGAUUAUUAUAUGUCUGGGUGUAGAUCUGUUUUGGUUGUAGGUGGCUGGAGUUCUGUGUGCCUCAUUUAUCUGGAUAUCAUUUCUUUUUCCUAUGCUUGGGAAGUUUUCCUUAAUUAUUUCUGUGAAUAGUCUUUGUAAUUCAUUUGUGGUUACUCCUGCUUCUUUGCUCACAUUUUUUAUUCUUAAGUUAUUGAUUCUUUUGUUGUUUUCUAGCCUUUGAAUUGUUUCUUCCUGGUUCUUUGUUAUUUUUAAGAGAUCUUUCCUUUCACGAUCACACAUUAUAAAUCUCUCUUCAAAUUUCAAAAGGCUAACUUUAGUUUCUGUCAAGGCAUUUUGCCAGGUUUCAAUGGAAUUUUUAGUUUCCUGGUAAUCUCUUUGGAUCUGUUUCAUGUAUUCUAGGUUUUGUUUAUAUUCUUUUUUUUAUUUAAAAAAAUAUAUAUAUAUAAAGGGGGGAGAUUAAGAUGAAAGAGGACAAAACUACAAAGGUAGGAACAGAACAAUUUAAGCAACAUAGUGUUUCACCACAGGAUAACAGUAGUUACCAUAGUGUCUGUUUCCUUGAAAUAUUUGAGUAUGCCUUUGUAUGCUAUCAAACAUAACAAGGCAGUGUAAAGCCAUUCAAGAGGGUAAAAGUAUUACAGGGUAUUUAGAACCAACUAACAGAAAAUGAACAAUGGUUUCUAUAUUAUCUCCUUGACUAUAAAAAUUUUUGUUUAUGCUAUCACAUAUAAUAAAAUCCAAUAAGAUACAAUAUGAUAAAACCGAUGGAGACAGAAGAACAAAAUCUUGAUGGGGAUUCAAAACAAGCUGAUAUUAAAUCAGCACUGGCUAUUAUAAUGUCUUUUUUUCCAAAAUAACUGUUCAUAUCAUCACAGACAAUAAAAUCAAAUAACCCAGAAUAAAACCAUUCCAAUUAAUGAAUGAAAACAUUAUAAAUCUUUAACACAAUAUAAUGGGGAAUCAUGAUUACCACAUACUUUUAUGUAUUCUUACCAUUUCUUACACUAGGGAAACUAUUUGGUGUUUAUAUAUGUGAGUUUGAUUUAUUUCACUUAUGAAUAUGGUCUCAAGCUGUGUCCACUUAUCUAUAAAUAUCUCAAUGUGAUCAUUCUUUAUAUCUGAGUAGUACUCCAUUGUAUAAAAAUACCACAACAUUUUUAUCCAUUCCUCACUUGAAGGACACUUAGGUUGUUUCCAAGGUCUGGCUAUUACAAAUUGUGCUGCUAUAAACAUCACUGUGAUAUGAUGUUUUCAGUUCUUCUGGGAAUAUUCCUAGAAGUGGAAUAACUGGAACAAAUGGGACCUCCAAUCUCAGCUUUCUGAGAAAUCUCCAAACUGACUUCCACAAUGGUUGCACCAGUCUACAUUCCCACCAACAGUGCAGGAGAGUUCUUUUUCCCCACAGAGUCUCCAGCAUUUGUCGUUGGUGGUUUUCUUGAUCCUGGCCAUUCUUUCAGGAGUGAGAUGGAAUCUCAGUGUGGUUUUAAUUUGCAUUUCUAUAAUGAUUAAUGAUAAUAAGCAUUUUUUCAUGCAUUUAUUUGCCAUUUUCUUUCUUCAUCUGAGAAUUGUGUAUUCAUCUCAGAUGCCCCUUUUUGGAUUGGAUCUUUGAAUUUUGGGGGUGUGACUUUUAAAAAAUUCUUUAUAUGUUUUAGACAGAAGUCCUUUGUCUGAGGGACAGUUCACUAAGAUUUUUUCCCAAUUUGUGGGUUUUCUUUUCACUAUGUUAGAGAUUUUUUUUUUGUCUUUUUCUUUUUUAUCGGUACCAGGGAUCGAACUCACGACCGCCUGCUUGCAAGGCAGGUGCUUAUGCCACUGAGCUAAAUCCCCAGCCCCCAGAGAUUUCUUUUGACGUGCAAAACCUUUUAAUAAGAGGUGAACCCAGUUGUUGAUUCUGGGAAAUAUUUCCCAUGCCAUUUGAUUCCUGUUCAUGAAUUCUCUACCUACCCCUAUGUCUUCAAGGUUUUUACCUAACUUGUCUUUUAAUAGAUUUAGUGUUUCGGUUUUAAUAUUUAGAGCUUUGAUCCAUUUAGAUUUUACUUUAGUACGUGGUGAUAGGCAUGAGUCUAAUUUUAGUUUUUGGCAUAUGGAGAGCCAGUUUUUCCAGCACCAUUUACAAAAAAGACUGUCCUCCUUCCAGUGAAUAUGUUUGACCCCUUUAUCAAAGAUAAAGUGGUUGAGUGUGUUUAUAGUUGUGGUUGUAUCUUCUAAUCUAUUCCAUUGAUCUUCAGCUCUGUUUUGGUUCCAGUACCAUGUUGAUUUUACCACAAUUGCUUUGUAGUAUAACUUCAAGUCAGGGAUUGUGAUGCCUCCUGCCUUGCCUUUGCUGCUCAGAACAGUCUUUGCUAUUCUAGGUCUCUUCUGGCUCCAGAUGACUUUUAGUAGUGGUUUCUCUAGAUCUAUGAGGUAUGUUGAUGGUAUUUUUAUUGGGAUUGCAUCAAAUCUGUAUAACAGUUUUGGGAGAAUGGCCAUUUUCACAAUAUUUAUUCUUCCUAUCCGUGAGCAAGGGAUGUCUUUCCAUUUUCUGAGAUUUUCUUCCAUUUCUUUCUUCAGUGUAUUAUAAUAUAUAUUAUAUAUAUGUAUAUUAUAUAUAUAUACAGUAUAUAAUAUGUAUAUUUUAUAUAUAUACAGAUCUUUCACUUCUUUUGUGAGAAUAAUUCCGAAAUAUUUCAUUUUUUUAGUUCCUAGUAUGAAAGGUGUGGCUUGUCUUAUUUCUGUCCCUGGCUUAGUGUAUAGGAAUGCUAUUGAUUUUUGUGUAUUGAUUUUGUAUCCAGCUACAUUGCUGAAUUUAUUUAUUAUAUCUAAGAGUCUUUCAAUGGAGUUUUGGGAGUCUUUUAUGUAGCGUAUCAUGUCAUCUGCAAAUAAUGAUAAUUUAACUUCUUCUUUUCCUAUCUUUACCCCUUUUAUUUCUCUCUCUUGUCUAAUUGCUCUGGCUAGUAUUUCCAGUACUAUAUUAAAUAGGAGUGGUGAUAAGGGACAUCCUUGUCUUGUGCCUGAUUUUAAGGUAAAGGCCUUCAGUUUUUUGCCAUUUAGUAUGUUACUGGCUAUUGGUUUGUCAUAGAUGGCCUUUAUUAUAUUGAGGUAAAGACCAUCUAUUCCAAUUUUCUGUAAGGUUCUUAUCAUAAAUGAAUGUUGGAACUUAUCAAAAGCCUUUUCUGCAUCUAUAGAGAUGAUCAUGUGAUUCUUACUUUUGACUUUAUUCAUAUGGCAGAUUGCAUUUAUUGAUUUAUGUAUGUUGAACCAUCCCUGCAUGCCUGGGAUGAAUCCCACUUGGUCAUAGUGUAUAAUCUUCUUGCUGAUUUGCUGUAUUCUAUUUGCCAAUAUUUUGUUGAGGAUUUUUACAUCUGUGUUCAUUACAGAGACUGGCCUGUAGUUCUCUUUUUUAGUUGGGUCUUUCUCAGGUUUUGGUAGUAAGAGUAAUAUUUGCUUCCAGGAAUGACUUAGGAAGGAUUGCUUCCUUUUCAACUUUAUUGAAGAGUUUGAGGAGUGUCGGCAUUAAGUCUUCUUUGUACUUCUUGUAGAAUUCUGCAUUGAAUCUAUCUGGGCCUGGGCUCUUCUUUGUAGGUAAGAAUUUAAUUACAUUUUCAAUUUCAUUAAUAGAAAUUGGGUUAUACUCUUUGAUUCAUUGAUUCUUUGGACUGUUUUCUUAGUCUCUAUUGCACUAAUUUCUGCUCUGAUUUGCAUAAUUUCCUCUUUUCUUUUGGCUUUGGGCUUGACUUUCUCUUCUUUUUCUAGUUGUUUGAGGUGUAACAUUAUUUAUUUAUUUGUAUUCAUUCUGUUUUCCUGAUGUGGGAACUCAGUGCAAUAAAUUUUCCUCUGAGGACAGCUUUCAUUGCAUCCCACAGAUUCUGGAGGCCCGGCUUCCCUGCCUGUCAGCCACAGCUUGAUCAAAUUGCGCUGGCUAGUUGUUCCCGCUCACCGCUGCGCCCCAGGGAGUUGCGGAGGAGGCAGCCUACACGGGAGUCGGUCGCUCCUCCGGGCCACUGUCAGGCUCUGGGAUCUGGGUUAGGCCAGCCUAGGGAGUCCGCGAGCAGCGUCCCUCCGGCCAGGCACCUUUCACCAAUCCCGUCCGAGAGGGAAACUUGCGGCUGCAGUUGCCACCGCGCCCUGCUCUUACAGGACUGCCCGCGCCCAGAAAAACCUCCGCUGGAGUCAAACUGCGGUAGGGAGUCAGUUCCUCGCUCACCUCGCCACCAGUCAGCCUUCCUCCCUGUCCGUCGCGUUUCCGACUCCGUUCGCAGACUCCCGUUCCCAAGCCUCUGCGUGUCUCUCCUUGCCGAGCCACUAUGGAGGCAGCCGGCCGCUGGGCAGCGGGAAAUCCAAACCGCGGUUUCCAAUGGCGCGGAGUCGAGCCUCCACACCGAGAUUUUUCUGUUCCUAUUUUAGCGCCAGGACUGUAUUCCAAGUUGGAUUCUCUCAGCCCAGUUCGUUCCUGAGUCAGCAGAGCAUAUCUCUACUGGUUCGUAUCUCCUUAGUCCGCAUCAUUCCUGGCCUCUGAGCCGAGCCUUUAGAGAGCGUUCAGUAGUUGCUGUUGUCUGUCCGCCAUGUUCUCCCCGUGACACAGAUAUAUUUUCAUAGAGAUAUAAUUAUAGCAAAAUGCAUAAAUCAUAACUGCAGUUGGAUACAUUUAACAGAUACAUACUUGUAUGUAACCAACACCCUCUUCUAGGCUUAGGAUGUGAAAGUUCCUGCAUGUAACAUGGUGAUUUCUUAAUCAUCUUUUUGAUGUUUGGUUUCUAACUUGAUUACAUAGUAAGUAGAGUAUAUAGUUUUUAUGUUACUGAAUUUUAAGUAUUUGGUGGUAGAUCUGCUAGUUGCCAACUAAAAUUGCCCUACCUUACAAAAGGACCUAUUUUUUGUUGUCGUUGUUCACCUGGAUAAUGUGCACUAUUAAAACCCCUCUGUCUUCUGGCUAGGAGGCCGUGUUGCCCAGUCUUGGAUGGUAUAAGUGUUAGAAGAUACUGGAUAUGAUUCUGGCAAAAGACAUUGCACAGGUGUGAUUUAAUUUGGCCAGGCAUCUCCACUUCUAUCUUCAAGAAGGUAUGAAUCCAAAGCUAGAUGAGGGUAACCAUCAGGGUAAAAGCCACAGGCUAAAGAGAGGGUGGCCGGAAAUCUCAACCUUCUUGCUUCCGUAAUCUUAAAACAAAUUAAAGAUAUAUAUAAUUAGGAUUUUUGUAUGAGUUCACCAGCCCUGGGUUCUUUAGUCUGUGUGUCUCAUUACAUUCAAACAAACACAUACAAACACAAAAACUGUGUUUACUGGUUCAAGAUUUUAAAGGGUGGGGAGAAAGGGAGUGGGCCUCUUUCAGCUUCCUGCAGUUCCUCACUGGUGCACUAGUAUAUAUCAAUUUGUGUAAACAUUCAACAGUGGUUGAGUCAUUAUAUUCUGCCUAUGCCCAUUAGAUUGAGCAUAUAAUUUUUGUUGAAAAAACCAUUUACAGAUUUAUAAUCUAUUGUUUACCAUGAUUGUGGGUUGUUGAAUAGUCCUUGUAAUUCUGUUAAUUUUUAAAUUUAUGGACAUAUUUUGAAGCAAUGUAAUUAAAUGAAAAGCAUUUUGACAUUUUAUACAUUUCCAGUAAAAAUUGCAAUUUUUAUCCCUACAAGUUUAUCCUUAGUGGGCUGGAGAUUUAGCUCAGUGGCAUAAGCUCCUGCAUGGCAAGUGCAAGGUUGUGAGUUCCAUCCCCAAUACCAACAAUAAAAAAAAAUUAGCCUUAGAAUGAACAUUCAACCAUUCCUCAUAGUGAUAACUAACACUUAACAUAACCAGCUACUCCUCAAAGCUUUGCAUCUGUCCUCACAGUGACAUCCUGAGGUAGGUAUUGUCACCCUUAUUCUGCAUAUGAGGAAUCUGAGGCCCAAAUUAAGGCGAGUUGGUGAAGGUAACCAUGUGGGAGAUGUUAGUAGCUGAAGUUUGACUCUUUUUGGUUCUAUUUUGAAUGCUAUUUUAUGGGGCUCUUUUGUGCUUUAGAAUUGUUGUAAUUGAGUUAUGACACAGAAGUUCAUCUUACAUUGCAAUUUGAUUAAUUUUAUGUCUACAGCAUGCAUUCACCCUGUCAAAACUAAAACAUUUCAGAGUCUGUUGCCCUAUCCCCAGGAGUCACCACUGUCCUGACUUUCAUCACGAUACAUUUGUUUUUCUGUUCAUGGAAUUGGAGCCAUACACAGCCCCCUCAUUUCUUUUUCCUGUUUAACAUAAAUUUGGUGAAGUUUGUGUUAUCAUUACUUUAUUGUUUUUAGUUGUUGGGCAAUAUUGCAUGGUCUAAGUAUACCAUGAUUAAAAAAUUCCACACCUAACAAGAUUCUACGAUACACAUUCUGGUUUGAUAACUGCCUGCUUUUGAAAUUUUAUACUAUAUACAAAGUUGUGUUUUUGUUAAUACUGUUAUGUACUUAUAUAUUCAAUUAUACUAUGUUUGAAGAUAUAGCCAAUUCUAUUGAAGAUAAUAGACAACACAGGAACUAUGGUAGAACUCCUUGUAUAAUGGUCUUUUUCAUGUGUUUAUAGGAAUAUGUUUUGUUUUAUCUUGCUUUGUUUUGUUUCUCCCUCUAAUAUAGAAAGAAUAAAAAUACAUGUUAAGACUCAUGCAUGUGUAGAAUCUAUAAAUAGUUUAUGACAACUGAUCUUAUUUUUUUUUCAUAUUCUCUUGGUCAAAUAGAGAACUGAUCUUAUGACAAAUGAUGAAAUGAACAGAUACUUUGAGGAGAGAGAGACACUAAAGUACCCAGUGCUGAUCCUGGAGUGUCAUAAUGUGAAACCCAGUAGUCAUAUUAUUCUUUGUUCAGAGUGAUAUUAGCCUGCUUGGGUUUGUUCAAUCUCAACAUAAUUGAAGAUAUGGAUAACUGCAUGUAUGUUUAAGUGUAUAGGCUUGACAACCAUAUAUCUAAGUUUUUGUUGGAUAGUUGAACAGAACUGGUUGGUCUCACUGUUUGAAUCCCCACUUUAUAUGUUCCACUUUUGUAUCUUGAAUAACUAUUUGUAAGAGGACAAUCUGUAAUCAUCAACUAGUGAUUUUUUACUAUUUAUUUUUUCUUUGAAACUAUGUAUUAUUUCUACCUGUUUUCUGUUUUGUUUAGUCUUUGUUUAAAUAAAAUAAAAUUAAAAAAGACACUACAGUACCCAGUGCUGAUCCUGGAGUGUCAUGAUGUGAAAUCCAGUCAUACUAUUAUUCUUUGUUCAGAAUGACUUUAGCCUGCUUUAAUUUGCUUAAUCUCAAUAUAAAUGAAGAUAUGGAUAACUGCAUGUUAUGUUUAAGUGUAUAGGAUUGACAACCAUAUUACUAAGUUUUUGUUGGAGAGUUGAACAGAACUGUUUGCAGUCUCGCUAUUUGAAUUCCCACUUUAUAUGUUCCACUUUUGUAUCUUGAACAACUAAUUGUAAAAGGACAGUAUGUAAACAUCAACUAGUGAUUUCUGUUUUUCUCUGAACAUAUGUAUUAUUUCUACCCAUUUUCUGUUUUGUUUAGUCUUUCCUUAAAAAAAAUUAAAAUUAAAAAAAAAUUCCACACCUGGGCCCUGGGACAAAUGAUCAUCUCGUCUCAACUUCCUAAGUGAGUGAGUGGAGUAGAGGCGUAUACCACCACAUCUAAAUGCCUUUUACUACCUUUAAUUGUAUACAUUAUGAAUUAUAGCCCUGACUUCUAACAGUGUAACUGAUACCACAACGACAAACACACCCAAAAGAAAACUGUUACAGUGCCAUUAUUUGUGUCACCUAUUGUCCUUUUAUCAAAGAAAAUAAAAGGAAAUGAUACUAGGUUAACACUACAA
Molecule: long non-coding RNA, 12062 nt
Organism: Cavia porcellus (domestic guinea pig)
Lineage: Eukaryota; Metazoa; Chordata; Mammalia; Rodentia; Caviidae
Exons: 2
Source: RefSeq, a predicted model, not a curated record